UUUUUUAAUUGAAAACUCGUAUGAAUGGUUGAACGAAAUAUUAACUGUCUCAUAAAAAUUUUAAUUGAACUUUACUUUUUAGUUAAAAGGCUAAAAUUAAAUUAAAGGACGAGAAGACCCUAUAGAGUUUUAUAAUUUAAUAAUUAUAAUUUAUAAAGAAUAAUUAAAAUUUUAUUUAUUAACAUUAUUUUGUUGGGGUGACAAUAAAAUUUAACAAACUUUUAUUAUUUUUUAACAUUAAUUUAUGAAUUAUUGAUCCAGUUUUAUUGAUUAAAAAUUUAAAUUACCUUAGGGAUAACAGCGUAAUUUUUUUUUAGAGUUCAUAUCGAUAAAAAAGAUUGC
This 342-nucleotide ribosomal RNA is filed under the name Bolitophila cinerea. RNAcentral's name for it is "partial 16S ribosomal RNA". Lineage: Eukaryota; Metazoa; Arthropoda; Insecta; Diptera; Mycetophilidae. The record is from RNAcentral.